AUUGAACGCUGGCGGCAGGCCUAACACAUGCAAGUCGAACGGUAACAGGAAGCAGCUUGCUGCUUCGCGGACGAGUGGCGGACGGGUGAGUAAUGUCUGGGAAGCUGUCUGAUGGAGGGGGAUAACUACUGGAAACGGUAGCUAAUACCGCAGAGUGUCGCAAGCACAGAGAGGGGGGGCUUCGGGCGGCUGGCCGUCGGGGGCGCCCGGAUGGGGAGCUUGUGGUGGGGGGGGUACGGUUCACCAGGGGGGCUAUCUCUAGCGGGUCUGUGGGGCUGACACGCCACACUGGAGCUGAGACACCGUCCUGACUCCUACGGGAGGCAGCAGUGGGGAAUAUUGCACAAUGGGCGCGAACCUGAUGCAGCCAUGCCGCGUGUAUGAAGAAGGCCUUCGGGUUGUAAAGUACUUUCAGCGGGGAGGAAGGGAGUAAAGUUAAUACCUUUGCUCAUUGACGUUACCCGCAGAAGAAGCACCGGCUAACUCCGUG
Molecule: ribosomal RNA, 490 nt
Filed under: uncultured bacterium
Lineage: Bacteria
Description: partial 16S ribosomal RNA
Rfam family: Bacterial small subunit ribosomal RNA
Source: RNAcentral